Molecule: ribosomal RNA, 434 nt
Filed under: uncultured bacterium
Lineage: Bacteria
Description: partial 16S ribosomal RNA
Rfam family: Bacterial small subunit ribosomal RNA
Source: RNAcentral
UGAGGAAUAUUGGACAAUGGGCGAAAGCCUGAUCCAGCUAGAUCGCGUGGGUGAUGAAGACUGUAUUGGUUGUAAAGCCCUUUACUUAAAUAAAGAUUAUGACAAAGUUUAAGAAAAAAGUCCCGGCCAAUCUCGUGCCAGCAGCCGCGGUAAUACGAGAGGGGCAAGCGUUAUUCGGAAUGAUUGGGCGUAAAGAGCACGUAGACUGUUUAGAAAAUCCAACAUAAAAAAAUCAAAGCUUAACUUUGAAACUUAUUUUAGAUCGUGGAUAAAAAUGUCUUUUUGUCACUGAUUUCUAAACUGGAGUGAGUAAGAGGAGAAUGGAAUUCCUGGCGUAGAGGUAAAAUUUGUUGAUAUCAGGAGGAACACCAAAAGCGAAGGCAAUUCUCUGGUACUCUACUGACGUUGAGGUGCGAUAGCGUGGGGAUCAAAAG